Molecule: ribosomal RNA, 1997 nt
Filed under: Candidatus Poseidoniales archaeon
Lineage: Archaea; Methanobacteriati; Thermoplasmatota; Candidatus Poseidoniia; Candidatus Poseidoniales
Description: bacterial LSU rRNA
Rfam family: Archaeal large subunit ribosomal RNA
Source: RNAcentral
CGACUGGGGGAUGGCUCGGCUCGAGAGCCGAAGAAGGUCGUGACAAGCUGCGAUAAGUCGCGGGGAGAGGCAUGAAUCUCAUGGAUCCGCGAAUUGCUGAAUUGGACCUCCUGGCACUCAGUGCCAUUCCUCGAUAUAAAGAAGGAAAGGGAACCCCCCGAACUGAAGCAUCUCAGUAGGGGGAGGAAUAGAAAUCAAAAGAGAUUCCGUUAGUAGUGGCGAAUGAAAACGGAAUAGGACAAACCGAAUCCCCUUGGGAAACCUUGGGGAGAUGUGGGGUAAGGAUCGUCUGUAGCCUAAUUCUAGGAAGUGGAAGUCGUCCUGGGACGGCGCACCAUAGAGGGUGAAAGUCCCGUACACGUACUAGAUAUGGCCAAGUGAUGAAUCCAGAGUAGCGUGCGUUGGAUAUCGCGCGUGAAUGUGGGAGGCAGUUACUUCCAAUCCUAAAUACUACUCGAGACCGAUAGUUGACAAGUAGCGUGAGCGAAAGCUGAAAAGUAUCCUUAGCGGGAUGUGAAAAGAACCUGAAACCAGUCGGGAACAAGCUGAAUAGGCGUGAAAGCGAAGAUAUGAGCAGCGUCUAUUCGUGCGUUUCGAAAAAUGCCCCUGGGAGUUCUGAUCAUUGGCGAGGUUAAGCAGUUGAUCUGCGAAGCCGAAGGGAAACCGAAAGGUCCGCAGCCGCGUAAGCGGUCAGGGACUGGGUGUGCUCGCCCGAAGUCAAUAGUGGGAGACCUGAAGCCUAUCGAUCUAUGCCUGGCCAGAUUGAAGCCCGAGGAAACUUGGGUGGAGGAUCGAACCGUUGCUGAUGUGCAAAUCGCUCGGACGAGCUGGGUAUAGGGGUGAAAGUCCAAUCGAGAUGGGCAAUAGCAGGUUCCGCGCGAGACUACUCGUAGGUAGAUCUCCGUUGAGAUAGAUUGUGAUGUAGAGCACUGAUUGGGUAUUUAGGGGGAGCGAUCCCUCGGUACGCUGUCAAACUCCAAAGUUGCAAUCGUCGUAGACGCGGGGAGUGAGCCACGGUGGGUAAGCUACCGUGACGAAAGGUGAAUAAACCAGCUCAGCGUUAAGGUCCCAAAGUUCCAGUUAAGUGUUAAUGACAAACCGUGUCCGUGGUCGAAGACAACCAGAAGGUGGGCUUAGAGGCAGCCAUCCUUGAAAGAGUUCGUAACAGAUCACUGGUCAAGCUUGCGGGCCGGGAAAAUGGACGGGACUCAAACUGGACACCGAUACGCUGAACCUCCGAAAGGAGAUGUGGUAGCGCGGCGAUGUGCUCGGGCAGAAGCGAGGUCGUGAGAUCUCGUGGACCGUGUACAUAUGAGAAUCUAGGGAAGAGUAGCAGCAUAGAGUGGUGAGAAUCCGCUCCACCGAAGGGGCCAGGGUUCCUCGGCAAUGAUCAUCAGCCGAGGGUUAGCCGGUCCUAAGGACAUCCUUAACCGAGAUGUUCGAAAGGGAAAUGCGUUAAUAUUCGUAUGCCCCUCUACAAUAGUGGUGACGGCUUGGGCUAGUUCUACCGUUCCUGUCGGGACGGCGAAGCGUAAUAAUCGAUUGGAGAACCGUCAUGGUGAGAAGAUCGAGAAGACGUGAGCAAAAGAUGAAUGAGGCCUAGGUCCCAUGAAAAACCGUAGAGGUGACCGUACCGAGAACUGACACAGGUGCCCCUGGGUGAGUAGCCUAAGGUGUGACGGGCAAAGUACCGCGAAGGAACUCGGCAAAAUCGCUCUGUAACUUCGGGAGAAGGAGUGCCAGCUUAGAGAUAAGCUGGUCGCAGUAACAAGGGGACUCCGACUGUUUAAUAAAAACAUAGCCGACUGCUAGUUCGAAAGGAUGUGUAUAGUCGGUGAAUCCUGCUCAGUGCCGGUAUCUGAAAUCGGGUUUCAACCUGAUGAAGGACCGGUAAACAGCGGGGGUAACUAUGACCCUCUUAAGGUAGCGUAAUACCUUGUCGCUUAAUUGGCGACUUGCAUGAAUGGCACAACGAGAGUCCAACUGUCUCCACGAUA